GAUGUACCAGUCUGCAAUCCCACCAACAAUGGAGGAAUGUUCCUCUUUCUCCACAUCCUCCCCAGCAUCUGUUGUUUCCUGAGUUUUUGAUCUUAGGCAUCCUGACUGGUGUGAGGUGGAAUCUCAGGGUUGCUUUGAAGAGCAUUUCCCUGAUGACUAAGGAUGUUGAACAUUUCUUUAGGUGCUUCUCAGUCACUAGAUAUUUCUCAGCUGAGAAUUCUUUGUUUAGUUCUCUACCUCAUUUUUAAUAGGGUUAUUUGGCUCUCUGGAGUCUAACUUCUUGAAUUCUUUGUAGAUUUUGGAUAUUAGCCCUCUAUCAGAUGCAGAUUGGUAAAGAUCUUUUCCCCACCUCUUGGUUAAGGUUUUUUUUUUUUCCCUAAUGACAGUGUCCUUUGCCUUACAGAAGAUUUGCAAUUUUAUGAGGUCCCAUUUGUCAAAUAUAGAUCUUAGAGCAUAAACCAUUGGUGUUUUGUUCAGUAAUUUUUUUUCUAUUACUCAUGUGAUCGAGAUUCUUCCCCACUUUUACUUCUAUUAGUUUGAAUGUAUCUGGUUUGAUAUGGACGUCCUUGAUCCACUUGGACUUAGCUUUGUAC
This 593-nucleotide long non-coding RNA is filed under the name Rattus norvegicus (Norway rat). RNAcentral describes it as "long non-coding RNA NONRATT016366". Lineage: Eukaryota; Metazoa; Chordata; Mammalia; Rodentia; Muridae. The record is from RNAcentral.